Molecule: ribosomal RNA, 443 nt
Filed under: uncultured bacterium
Lineage: Bacteria
Description: partial 16S ribosomal RNA
Rfam family: Bacterial small subunit ribosomal RNA
Source: RNAcentral
CCUACGGGUGGCAGCAGUGGGGAAUAUUGCACAAUGGGCGAAAGCCUGAUGCAGCAACGCCGCGUGAAGGAAGAAGGCUUUCGUCUCGUAAACCUCUAUCAACAGGGACGAAAAUAAUGCCAGUACCUGAAUAAGCAGCCCCGGCUAACUACGUGGCAGCCGCCGCGGUAAGACGUAGGGGGCAAGCGUUAUGCGGAAUUACUGGGUGUAAAGGGUGAGUAGGCGGCAUGGUAAGCCAGAUGUGAACGCGUGGGGCUUAACCCGAGGAUUGCAUUUGGAACUAGCAAGCUAGAGUACAGGAGAGGAAAGCGGAAUUCCUAGGGUAGCGGUGAAAUGCGUAGAUAUUAGGAAGAACACCAGUGGCGAAGGCGGCUUUCUGGACUGAAACUGACGCUGAGGCACGAAAGCGUGGGGAGCGAACAGGAUUAGAUACCCCAGUAGUC